AGAGUUUGAUCCUGGCUCAGGAUGAACGCUGGCGGCGUGCCUAACACAUGCAAGUCGAACGGAGCCUUAACCAAAGAAGCAGCCAGCUUGCUGGAAGCGGAAAAGGGAAAGGCUUAGUGGCGGACGGGUGAGUAACGCGUGGGUAACCUGGCCCAUACAGGGGGAUAACACUUAGAAAUAGGUGCUAAUACCGCAUAACAACAGAAAGCGCAUGCUUUUUGUUUGAAAACCAAGGUGGUAUGGGAUGGACCCGCGUCUGAUUAGCUGGUUGGCGGGGUAAAGGCCCACCAAGGCGACGAUCAGUAGCCGGCCUGAGAGGGUGGACGGCCACAUUGGGACUGAGACACGGCCCAAACUCCUACGGGAGGCAGCAGUGGGGAAUAUUGCACAAUGGGGGAAACCCUGAUGCAGCGACGCCGCGUGAGUGAAGAAGUAAUUCGUUAUGUAAAGCUCUAUCAGCAGGGAAGAAAAUGACGGUACCUGAGUAAGAAGCCCCGGCUAACUACGUGCCAGCAGCCGCGGUAAUACGUAGGGGGCAAGCGUUAUCCGGAUUUACUGGGUGUAAAGGGAGCGUAGACGGCAGUGCAAGUCUGGAGUGAAAGGCGGGGGCUCAACCCCCGGACUGCUCUGGAAACUGUACGGCUGGAGUGCAGGAGAGGUAAGUGGAAUUCCUAGUGUAGCGGUGAAAUGCGUAGAUAUUAGGAGGAACACCAGUGGCGAAGGCGGCUUACUGGACUGUAACUGACGUUGAGGCUCGAAAGCGUGGGGAGCAAACAGGAUUAGAUACCCUGGUAGUCCACGCCGUAAACGAUGAUCCCUAGGUGUCGGGGGUUAAAGAACCUUCGGUGCCUGCAGCCAACGCAGUAAGUGAUCCACCUGGGGAGCACGUUCGCAAGAAUGAAACUCAAAGGAAUUGACGGGGACCCGCACAAGCGGUGGAGCAUGUGGUUUAAUUUGAAGCAACGCGAAGAACCUUACCAGGCCUUGACAUCCCCCUGAAUGGGUGGUAAUGCAUCCAGCCCUUCGGGGCAGGGGAGACAGGUGGUGCAUGGUUGUCGUCAGCUGGUGUGGUGAGAUGUUGGUUUAAGUCCCGCAGUGAGCGCAACCCGUCCGUUUUGUAGUAGCAUUCAGGAUGGGCACUCAGGAGGGCCUCCCCGGGAGAACCGGGAGGUAGGUGGGGAUGCCCUCAAAUCAUCAUGCCCAUUACGGCCUGGGUUACAUCACGUGCUACAAUGGCGUAAACAAAGGGAAGUGAUCCCCCGAGGGUAAGCGAAUC
Molecule: ribosomal RNA, 1276 nt
Filed under: uncultured bacterium
Lineage: Bacteria
Description: bacterial SSU rRNA
Rfam family: Bacterial small subunit ribosomal RNA
Source: RNAcentral